AGAGGGUGCAAGCGUUAAUCGGAAUUACUGGGCGUAAAGGGCCUGUAGGUGGUUUCUUAAGUUAGAUGUGAAAGCCCUGGGCUUAACCUGGGAACUGCAUCUAAAACUGGGUGACUAGAGUAUGGUAGAGGGAAGUGGAAUUUCUAGUGUAGCGGUGAAAUGCGUAGAUAUUAGAAAGAACACCAGUGGCGAAGGCGACUUCCUGGACCAAUACUGACACUGAGGGGCGAAAGCGUGGGGAGCAAACAGGAUUAGAUACCCUGGUAGUCCACGCCGUAAACGAUGAGAACUAACUGUUGGGCAGUUUUAACUGCUUAGUAGUGCAGCUAACGCGAUAAGUUCUCCGCCUGGGGAGUACGGCCGCAA
RNAcentral lists this ribosomal RNA (366 nucleotides) under uncultured bacterium. RNAcentral describes it as "bacterial SSU rRNA". It matches the Rfam family "Bacterial small subunit ribosomal RNA", at positions 527 to 891 of the family's 1533-position model. The record is from RNAcentral.